RNAcentral lists this ribosomal RNA (289 nucleotides) under Hydrotaea chalcogaster. RNAcentral describes it as "partial 16S ribosomal RNA". Lineage: Eukaryota; Metazoa; Arthropoda; Insecta; Diptera; Muscidae. The record is from RNAcentral.
UCUGGUAUGAAUGGUUGGACGAAAUAUUAACUGUUUCAUAAAUAUUUAUAUUAGAAUUUUAUUUUUUAGUUAAAAAGCUAAAAUUUAUUUAAAAGACGAGAAGACCCUAUAAAUCUUUAUAUUUAAAUUAUUAUAAUUUUGUAGAAUUUUUUUAUUUUAAUAAUUAAUAAUAUUUUAUUGGGGUGAUAUUAAAAUUUAAUAAACUUUUAAUUUUUUUUAUCAUUAAUUAAUGAAUAAUUGAUCCGUUAUUAACGAUUAAAAAUUUAAGUUACUUUAGGGAUAACAGCGA